UCUGUUUUGAAACCUGUUCAUGAUACGGUUGAACCUGGCAACAUGAAAAUGAUUGAAGGGAAAGUUAUCAGUGAGCUAGAUGCAGCAAGUCCAAAUGAUGCUUCCAUCAGGGCAGAGCAAGCUUGUGACGAGACUGGUAAGAGUUCUGUGAGAACCGUCCUGGAUAUUUUGCCCAAUUUUGAGGAUAUAGCUGAUGUGGAUUACAUGAAAUUGCUGGAGUUGGCUAACAGUGUUGAGGAGGAAAUAUACAAGCAAGCAAUGGAAAUGCCUCUGUCUCCUACACUCCCUGAAAUCAGUUUUCCGGAGGCUUUAGUAUUAUCUGAUGUGACAAGGAAUACAGAGCUUGGCAGCAUCUUCCAUGGGGAGGCUGACACCAUUGAUAUGGAACUGCACUGCAAUGAAUCAAGAGGUCAUGGCUCUAAAACCAUUCGUGAGGGAUCUCGACAUGAGAAGGAAGAUUUAGUCGGGGAUGUCUAUUCUCAAUCACUGGAAGCAGAUAAA
Molecule: long non-coding RNA, 501 nt
Filed under: Linum usitatissimum (flax)
Lineage: Eukaryota; Viridiplantae; Streptophyta; Magnoliopsida; Malpighiales; Linaceae
Description: long non-coding RNA (LUSI_LNC001738)
Source: RNAcentral